AUCAUGGGCGAGCUGAUCCCGCCCUUGUCUGGGUAAGGUGGCAUGGUGUCUCCACCCUCAAGUCUCCAGUCCCAUCUCUCUACAUAAUACUAGAGCGGCUCCAUUUCUGUUACUCUCCCAUCUGACCACCAGAUAUUCGCAUGCUGUGGUGGCUCCUGCUGCAGCCUGGCCACAUGGCUGGGUGACACCCUCCAUGUGUGGUGUGGUGGCAGCUGUCUAUGACUCACCUGUGCCAUGCCCUGGAGGGCAGGUGUGGGAAGGCAUGGCGGUCUGCAGGUCUCUGUCUUCCUCUUCCUGAGCUGCUCUGCCUGGAUUUGAUUUGAUUUUUAUGUGUCUGAGGCAAAAAAAAAAAAAAAAAACAGCUUUGGCCACCAAGCCAGAGGCAUCAAGCUCGGAUGAACAAAGGACGGCCAUCUGCUCUGCCCGGCUGCUAGAAGAACAUCAUCACCAACGUGGUCAAAGCCUACUAAGGACCCGUCUGCUACUGAUCAAGGUCCUUUGUGCAUCGGCCAUUCCUGUGGCUUUAAAACCCUACAGCCCUGCUCUAUAUGUCAGUCACAGGCUCAGCGAAGCAGAGAAAAGUCACCAGAGCACAGCGUCAUAUCCUUCACAUGGAGAAACCGAGGCUGGUUGACCGCCUGAUAUCUCACCUGUGAUUCAUGCGAGUGGUACUGGCUGUCCCCAAGAGAGGUACUGGGGACAGAUGAACAUGGACAUCAGCCUUCUUCCCAUCUGGAGUCCUGAAAAGAUUUAUGUGUACUCAGAUCACACUGAGUGCCACUCCCAAAAUGACAGCACUCUGCAACUUUCUUUUUUUUUUUGGUUCUUUUUUUUUUUUUUCCGGAGCUGGGGACCGAACCCAGGGCCUUGCGCUUCCUAGGUAAGCGCUCUACCACUGAGCUAAAUCCCCAGCCCCAACUUUCAUUUUUUUAAAGCCUAUUUUUAAUGAUGGUUCUUGUAGCCCACCACCCACCAGAGGUAGUGGAUAAGAGAGGCAGGGGAGAAGUGGACCUGUUUAGAAAGGUUCUUU
RNAcentral lists this long non-coding RNA (1030 nucleotides) under Rattus norvegicus (Norway rat). Its description in RNAcentral is "long non-coding RNA NONRATT033572". The record is from RNAcentral. Lineage: Eukaryota; Metazoa; Chordata; Mammalia; Rodentia; Muridae.